Molecule: unclassified non-coding RNA, 2069 nt
Filed under: Hevea brasiliensis (rubber tree)
Lineage: Eukaryota; Viridiplantae; Streptophyta; Magnoliopsida; Malpighiales; Euphorbiaceae
Source: RNAcentral
AGUAAACAGACCACCAAGUCACUGAAAUCAUGAUAUCAAAAGCACAGUUUAGCAUUUAACUGGAAUCCUAACCUCUUUUUGCAAAAGCAAUGUUAGACAUGUAAGUGAACCAUGUUUCACCAUAUUAGGGAAAACCCUAAAUUGGUAUGGUCAUUGCCCAUUUGCUUGAGCAGCAAUUACCCAUUACAACACAAUGUGCAAUGAAAGUUUCAACUCAAUGGCAUCCACAUGCAAAAUCAUUCAGCACCAAAAGUUUAAGUCACCAUUUGGCUCAUUUCAGUUCUUCAAUACUAGUUGAAGCAUUUGAUCUCCUCCUUUUGGCUUCAUUGUCACCCAAGUGCAAUGAAACACACGCAUCUUCAUCACAGCCAUUCCUCAGAGAAGCGAGGUUCUGCGACACUGCCUUAUCUGAUAAGCUGUUUUUAUGCAGUGGGGACUGUCUUAUGAAGCUUGGAAUAAACUGAUGUUCAAAGCUAGGAACCACCUUGAUCCCAUCUUCCAUAUGAAACUCAGUUUCCACAAGUGGUGGGUUCAUUUCUUGGUUGCUAGGUUCUACUUCCAAAGGGAUAUGCUCAAUUUGAAGACCUAAUGACUCAAAUUUGUCUUCAACUUUGUCCUCAGGAAGCAUUGCCUUUGGGGGUGAGGAGUCUCCCACUGUGGAGCACAUUGCUGUUGCUGAAGCAGCUCUUUGUUCUUGCACUGCCACUUUUAGUCCCUGACUGGUAUUGAUGAGAUCAAGCUCAAGAAGAUUGAGAAGUCGCCCAAGAUCUACUCCACUAGUCCAAUUUUCAGGAGGCUGUCCAACUUUCAGCUUAAGUCGGCCGCGAUUAGCAGUACCACCCCAUAUGAUUCCAAUAGGCCGUGACUUCUCACCAUUCUCACCUUUCAUUAUGAUGAGGCUUCCACUAUCUCCUUCAAGGUCAAAAGUCUGUUGGUUCUCACCCACAACAAGAAAAUCAGUUAAGAAGCAUAUGCCUUUCUCGUCAUUGUACUCAAGAGCAUACGCCAAGACAGUUCCUGUGGUCAAGCCAGAACUUCUUCCAACCUUCAUCACCUGCUUCCCAAUAAGACUGCUGAUGGAAGACUGCAAAUCUAUAAUCUUUACAUCACCAAUCUCUCCUAUACCUUUCACAGAUGUGGUAACAGUGGACAUAUCAAAAUCAUCAGAAAAUGGGAUAAAUGCCCCGUCUGCUCUGACAAAUGUCUCUGGGUUUAUUCCCGCAAAAAUGCCAUACCAAAGGUCAUCUGUGAUAAAUGAAGUAGCUCUCUCCACUGCACCAAGAUAAACCCCAGGUCCAAGUGUUGGGGGCAAAGGAUGAAACAUUUUUUGAUUAGGGUAAUCCAAGUCAACUGCAACAUGCCUAUUUGUUAGAAACCCAACUUGUCUACUGCCAGUCUGACUUCUAACAAUAGCACCCAGUGUCCCGUAAGUCUCCUGGUUUGCUACCUGUGCACAAGCAAUAACUCGGUUAUAAUUCCCAUCAAUUGUGGGAGCUGGAAAUUGUGGACUAUUAAUUAAAGUAAUCAACACUAAUUUUCUUCAUGAAAUAGUUUGCAAAAGCCAUCAACCAGUUAUGAUCCCACUAAAGUUGCAUCCUACAAAGGACAAUCAGGAGGCAGUCCUAUCCUUACAAGCUUACAUGAAAAUGGCUACUCUCAGGCCUCAAACUUCGUCCUUUAAGAUUCUUACCUUUCCAACAGCGAAGAGGCAAUCGCACUUAGGUCUUAGUCAUGGAUUUUAUAAAAGUGUCUGUUAUUAUAUCCAAAACAGAUAAACAACGUCAAAACUCUAAAAAGGUUGUAUCAGAAGCCAACUCAUGUCAUGAUCAUUAUAUUAAGUGGAAUCAAUGAAUGAAGAAUUACUAACUGUAAUCCAUAUCCAAAAGAAUAUGGUGCAGGGAAUAUAAGAGUAGCAAAGUACCUGAGAACCUGAACCAAUACACAAAUCACCCCCACGCAUAUCAUCCACAAUCUCAGUGUAUAACUGUUCCUUAGGAGUUGGCUCAGAUGCACCAAAAUAUGAGAACUCAACCACAUCAACAUCGCACCAUACACCUCCUGGUCCCUCA